GGCCGCAUGGCCCAAUGGCAAGGCGCUUGACUAUGAAUCAAGAGAUUGCAAGUUCGAUCCCUGCUGUAAUCA
Pyronema omphalodes CBS 100304 is the source of this 72-nucleotide non-coding RNA. The record is from Rfam. NCBI's taxonomy places the organism in Eukaryota, Fungi, Ascomycota, Pezizomycetes, Pezizales, Pyronemataceae.